AUUUCAGUAGCUUAUAAAGAGUUUAACAUUGAAGAUGUUGAGGAGGUUAUUAACCCUGAAAUA
Molecule: transfer RNA, 63 nt
Filed under: Trogoderma variabile
Lineage: Eukaryota; Metazoa; Arthropoda; Insecta; Coleoptera; Dermestidae
Description: tRNA-Phe
Source: RNAcentral